Molecule: ribosomal RNA, 245 nt
Filed under: uncultured bacterium
Lineage: Bacteria
Description: partial 16S ribosomal RNA
Rfam family: Bacterial small subunit ribosomal RNA
Source: RNAcentral
UACGGAGGGCGCAAGCGUUGUUCGGAAUCACUGGGCGUAAAGCGCGUGUAGGCGGCUUGGCAAGUCGGGUGUGAAAGCCCGGAGCUCAACUCCGGAACUGCACUCGAAACUGCCUCGCUCGAGUCCCGGAGAGGGUGGUGGAAUUCCCGGUGUAGAGGUGAAAUUCGUAGAUAUCGGGAGGAACACCAGUGGCGAAGGCGGCCACCUGGACGGUGACUGACGCUGAGACGCGAAAGCGUGGGGAG